Molecule: ribosomal RNA, 630 nt
Filed under: Torulaspora delbrueckii
Lineage: Eukaryota; Fungi; Ascomycota; Saccharomycetes; Saccharomycetales; Saccharomycetaceae
Description: eukaryotic LSU rRNA
Rfam family: Eukaryotic large subunit ribosomal RNA
Source: RNAcentral
CAUACGCAAUCCGGCGAACAAUACUCUCAAAGUUUGACCUCAAAUCAGGUAGGAAUACCCGCUGAACUUAAGCAUAUCAAUAAGCGGAGGAAAAGAAACCAACCGGGAUUGCCUUAGUAACGGCGAGUGAAGCGGCAAAAGCUCAAAUUUGAAAUCUGGUACCUUCGGUGCCCGAGUUGUAAUUUGUAGAAGGUAACUUUGGGGCUGGUCCUUGUCUAUGUUCCUUGGAACAGGACGUCAUAGAGGGUGAGAAUCCCGUGUGGCGAGGAUCCCAGUUCUUUGUAAAGUGCUUUCGAAGAGUCGAGUUGUUUGGGAAUGCAGCUCUAAGUGGGUGGUAAAUUCCAUCUAAAGCUAAAUAUUGGCGAGAGACCGAUAGCGAACAAGUACAGUGAUGGAAAGAUGAAAAGAACUUUGAAAAGAGAGUGAAAAAGUACGUGAAAUUGUUGAAAGGGAAGGGCAUUUGAUCAGACAUGGUGUUUUGCGCCCUCUGCUCCUUGUGGGUGGGGGAAUCUCGCAGCUCACUGGGCCAGCAUCAGUUUUGGCGGCAGGAUAAAUCUGCAGGAAUGUAGCUUGCCUCGGUAAGUGUUAUAUCCUGUAGAAAUACUGCCAGCUGGGACUGAGGACUGCGAC